RNAcentral lists this ribosomal RNA (253 nucleotides) under uncultured bacterium. RNAcentral's name for it is "partial 16S ribosomal RNA". It matches the Rfam family "Bacterial small subunit ribosomal RNA", at positions 524 to 776 of the family's 1533-position model. The record is from RNAcentral.
GACAGAGGGUGCAAACGUUGCUCGGAUUUACUGGGCGUAAAGCGCAUGUAGGCGGGCGAUUAAGUCAGGGGUGAAAUCCCGGGGCUCAACCCCGGAACUGCCUUUGAUACUGGUAGUCUCGAGUCCGGAAGAGGUGAGUGGAAUUCCGAGUGUAGAGGUGAAAUUCGUAGAUAUUCGGAGGAACACCAGUGGCGAAGGCGGCUCACUGGUCCGGUACUGACGCUGAGGUGCGAAAGCGUGGGGAGCAAACAGG